GACGAACGCUGGCGGCGUGCUUAACACAUGCAAGUCGAACGGAAAGGCCCUGCUUUUGUGGGGUGCUCGAGUGGCGAACGGGUGAGUAACACGUGAGUAACCUGCCCUUGACUUUGGGAUAACUUCAGGAAACUGGGGCUAAUACCGGAUAGGAGCUCCUGCUGCAUGGUGGGGGUUGGAAAGUUUCGGCGGUUGGGGAUGGACUCGCGGCUUAUCAGCUUGUUGGUGGGGUAGUGGCUUACCAAGGCUUUGACGGGUAGCCGGCCUGAGAGGGUGACCGGGCGGUGGGCGCCGGGGAUGCGGCCGAGGAGCGGAGGGGGGGCGGGAGGGGGGGAUAUGGGAGGGGGGGGGGGGCGCGGAUGAGGGCCGGGGGGGGGGGGGAGGCGGGCCUGGGGGGCGUAACCCGCUGCGGCCGGGGAGGGGGCUGGGGUGAUGGUAAGGGGAAAAGAAGCGCCGGUAAACUACGCGGCAGCAGAGGUGGUAAUAAGAGGAAGAUAACACGUUGGAAC
This 509-nucleotide ribosomal RNA is filed under the name uncultured bacterium. RNAcentral's name for it is "partial 16S ribosomal RNA". The stretch from base 20 to 332 matches the Rfam family "Bacterial small subunit ribosomal RNA", at positions 47 to 358 of the family's 1533-position model. The record is from RNAcentral.